Molecule: ribosomal RNA, 500 nt
Filed under: uncultured Glomeromycotina
Lineage: Eukaryota; Fungi; Glomeromycota
Description: partial small subunit ribosomal RNA
Rfam family: Eukaryotic small subunit ribosomal RNA
Source: RNAcentral
CCAAUAGCGUAUAUUAAAGUUGUUGCAGUUAAAAAGCUCGUAGUUGAAUUUCGGGGUCAGUAGAUUGGUCAUGCCACUGGUAUGUACUGGUCUCACUGAUUCCUCCUUCCUGAUGAGCCGUAAUGCCAUUAAUUUGGUGUUGCGAGGAAUCUGGACUGUUACUUUGAAAAAAUUAGAGUGUUUAAAGCAGGCUAACGCUUGAAUACAUUAGCAUGGAAUAAUGAAAUAGGACGUUCGAUCUUAUUUUGUUGGUUUCUAAGAUUGACGUAAUGAUUAAUAGGGAUAGUUGGGGGCAUUAGUAUUCAAUUGUCAGAGGUGAAAUUCUUGGAUUUAUUGAAGACUAACUACUGCGAAAGCAUUUGCCAAGGAUGUUUUCAUUAAUCAAGAACGAAAGUUAGGGGAUCGAAGACGAUCAGAUACCGUCGUAGUCUUAAUCAUAAACUAUGCCGACUAGGGAUCGGAUGAUGUUAAUUUUUUAAUGACUCAUUCGGCGCCUUACG